GACGAACGCUGGCGGCGUGCCUAAUACAUGCAAGUAGAACGCUGAAGGAGGAGCUUGCUUCUCCGGAUGAGUUGCGAACGGGUGAGUAACGCGUAGGUAACCUGCCUGGUAGCGGGGGAUAACUAUUGGAAACGAUAGCUAAUACCGCAUAACAGUAGAUGUUGCAUGACAUUUGCUUAAAAGGUGCAAUUGCAUCACUACCAGAUGGACCUGCGUUGUAUUAGCUAGUUGGUGAGGUAACGGCUCACCAAGGCGACGAUACAUAGCCGACCUGAGAGGGUGAUCGGCCACACUGGGACUGAGACACGGCCCAGACUCCUACGGGAGGCAGCAGUAGGGAAUCUUCGGCAAUGGACGGAAGUCUGACCGAGCAACGCCGCGUGAGUGAAGAAGGUUUUCGGAUCGUAAAGCUCUGUUGUAAGAGAAGAACGAGUGUGAGAGUGGAAAGUUCACACUGUGACGGUAUCUUACCAGAAAGGGACGGCUAACCACGUG
RNAcentral lists this ribosomal RNA (495 nucleotides) under uncultured bacterium. RNAcentral describes it as "partial 16S ribosomal RNA". It matches the Rfam family "Bacterial small subunit ribosomal RNA", at positions 28 to 507 of the family's 1533-position model. The record is from RNAcentral.